Long non-coding RNA from Alligator sinensis (Chinese alligator), 1466 nucleotides. RefSeq lists it as uncharacterized. NCBI's taxonomy places the organism in Eukaryota, Metazoa, Chordata, Crocodylia, Alligatoridae. The transcript is spliced from 4 exons. The record is from RefSeq and is a predicted model, not a curated record.
GCCUUUCUUUGAUUUAUGAUCUUUGAAGCCUGAAUCCCCUGCCAGCUACGGACCAAAAGCAGUUUGCAUAGCUGUGUAGAGCUCCUGAGAAAGCAGCUCCCUGUGCACCGCAGGUACGUCUGCAGUGGAUUCCUUUUGUUUUGCAGCAAAACUGCUGUUGCCUUGGCUGGGGGGGUCCCCUCAUGGCAAGGAAUGACUCUACUGUUGGUGCUCAACCUUUUGGCCCUAUGGGCCAAAUGAGUAGCGCAGGGCUAGUCCCUGAGCCUGAUGGGACCCUGGGGUCCUGCAUCACUUCCAGCUGCCGGAAUCAGACCCUGGCUUGAGCCUGAGUGCCUGGAUGAGGCUGCUGGGCCCCAUGCCACCCCCACCCAGUCCCAUGUGCUAGGAUUGGGCCCCACGCCACCCUGCGUGCCUGGGGCUCCCCAUGGGCAGGAUAACGUGGCACCAGGGGCUAGGUCUGGUUGAGCACACCUGGGACUAAGACACAAAACCCCUGAGAUGGAUGGGAACAGCAUGCUGGUCCCUCAGCACCAAAUGAAGAAGCAGCUGCAGCUCCACAACAAAACCGUCAACCCAGGCUUUUGAACAGCCCCAGCUGACACCAAGGCAUCCUGCCCACCUUCUCCAGUUUGCCCAUGGUCUUGUGCUACCCUCACAGAAAGACCCAGACUGGGCAUCCUACAGCCUAGGAGUGUUCAUCUGCUUGAAUUGUGCCGGAUUACAUCGCAGUAUUCCCCAAGUCAGCAAACUGAAAUCUAUCCAGUUGGAUGAGUGGGAUGAUGCACAAGUUGAGUUUAUGGCCUCGAAUGGAAACAAUGUAGCAAAAGCAAAGCAUGAAUCUAAAAUGCCACCAUUUUAUUACAAGCCAACAUAUCUUGACUGUCAACUGCUGCGGGAACAAUGGAUCAAAGCCAAAUAUGAAAGAAAAGAAUUCAUUUACAGUGAGAAACAAGAACCUUAUUCAGCAGGUAGUGAAAGAAUUUUUUGGUAGAUGAUUUUUACUGUGUCCAAUAGCUGCUAUUUCCUUUCUAUGCUCUCAUUUACAAAAGAAGAAAAACAUCUUUACAUUGUUAAACCUUACCCUUCCUUAGCCAAGACGGAAAAGUAUGACUAAAGGCUUUUGGGAGUGAUGGGGGCUGGAGGUCUGAUCCAAAUGCAAAAUCAAUGGGAUUGCUUUCCAUUACCUUCAGCAGGCUUUGGAUCAGGCAGUGAGCAGCGACUACAGUGAAAUUUUGGAUACUUUCUGUUAGCUGGAUGUGUUAGCAGGAAUUAAAAUGUAGAUAAGGAAUUUAUCUCGUCAAGGUGAAUUUCCUUUGGACUAAUGAUGUGGGAUUAUCGAUUCCCUUGGUAUUGUUGCACUGUCUUUGCAAACGAGUAUUUUGGGGCAAUUAUGUCAAAAUUGUUUUUCAUGCUAAGCGACAGCCUUUUUUUCUCUCUGUGUGUUAAGGAUCAAAAAUCCAUCAGAU